This 1273-nucleotide non-coding RNA is filed under the name Streptomyces qinglanensis. RNAcentral describes it as "Streptomyces sp. 172205 Bacterial large subunit ribosomal RNA". It matches the Rfam family "Bacterial large subunit ribosomal RNA", at positions 1 to 1210 of the family's 2925-position model. The record is from Rfam by way of RNAcentral. Lineage: Bacteria; Bacillati; Actinomycetota; Actinomycetes; Kitasatosporales; Streptomycetaceae.
GGCCAAGUUUUUAAGGGCGCACGGUGGAUGCCUUGGCACCAGGAACCGAUGAAGGACGUGGGAGGCCGCGAUAGGCCCCGGGGAGCUGUCAACCGAGCUGUGAUCCGGGGGUGUCCGAAUGGGGGAACCCGGCAGUCGUCAUGGGCUGUCACCUGCCGCUGAAUGUAUAGGCGGUGUGGAGGGAACGCGGGGAAGUGAAACAUCUCAGUACCCGUAGGAAGAGAAAACAACCGUGAUUCCGGGAGUAGUGGUGAGCGAAACCGGAGGAGGCUAAACCGUAUGUGUGUGAGACCCGGCAGGGGUUGCGCAUGCGGGGUUGUGGGAUCUCACUUCAAUGGUCUGCCGGCUGUUGGACGAGUGAAAAAUUGUUGGUGUAGGCGAAGGGCAUGCGAAAGGCCCGGCGUAGAGGGUAAGACCCCCGUAGCUGAAAUGCCAGCAACUUGUUUGUGAGACUCCCAAGUAGCAUGGGGCCCGAGAAAUCCUGUGUGAAUCUGGCGGGACCACCCGUCAAGCCUAAAUAUUCCCUGGUGACCGAUAGCGGAUAGUACCGUGAGGGAAUGGUGAAAAGUACCGCGGGAGCGGAGUGAAAGAGUACCUGAAACCGUGUGCCUACAAGCCGUGGGAGCGUCGCGUUGCGUGUUUGCACGUAACGUCGUGACUGCGUGCCUUUUGAAGAAUGAGCCUGCGAGUUUGCGGCAUGUUGCGAGGUUAACCCGUGUGGGGGAGCCGUAGCGAAAGCGAGUCCGAAGAGGGCGUUUGAGUAGCGUGUUCAAGACCCGAAGCGGAGUGAUCUAGCCAUGGGCAGGGUGAAGCGCGGGUAAGACCGUGUGGAGGCCCGAACCCACCAGGGUUGAAAACCUGGGGGAUGACCUGUGGUUAGGGGUGAAAGGCCAAUCAAACUCCGUGAUAGCUGGUUCUCCCCGAAAUGCAUUUAGGUGCAGCGUCGUGUGUUUCUUGCCGGAGGUAGAGCACUGGAUAGGCGAUGGGCCCUACCGGGUUACUGACCUUAGCCAAACUCCGAAUGCCGGUAAGUGAGAGCGCGGCAGUGAGACUGUGGGGGAUAAGCUCCAUGGUCGAGAGGGAAACAGCCCAGAGCAUCGACUAAGGCCCCUAAGCGUGUGCUAAGUGGGAAAGGAUGUGGAGUCGCAGAGACAACCAGGAGGUUGGCUUAGAAGCAGCCAUCCUUGAAAGAGUGCGUAAUAGCUCACUGGUCAAGUGAUUCCGCGCCGAUAAUGUAGCGGGGCUCAAGUACACCGCCGAAGUCGUGUCACUC